CCAGGUUAUUCUCAAGAAAGGAAAUCUUCUGCUUCUGGGUGCAAGACCCCCCGCUAUCAUCAGGCUCCAUUUCGGAGCUCUGCAGAGAAGAAGAGAGAGGAGGAUGAAGAAAAAAAACAAAAACAAAAAAGAUUAUCACAUGAGGAUUUGUGAUUUUUAGUCGUUUGGACCGCACACAGAAUAGCUGCUCAUCCCUGACACUUACGAGAGCUCCUCCAGGCGCUCGCUCUUGGUGCUGUCCUGGCUCUUCAGACGGUCAAAGUCGGCGCGAACCUGAGCCAGUUCCAGCUCCAGCUUGGAGUUACGACUGCAAGCAGGAGAAAACAAGGACCUCGUUAAAGAAAGGGUUAAUAUGCGGGCCAGCUGCUUGUGGUGGACGCCACGGUGUGACUCCCCCUGCUGGCGAGGAGCCUUCUGCGCAACAAAGACGACAUGAAGGAUCAGCUGAAUGCACGCAGGUUGUGUGGCAUUUACAGAAACGGAAAUGUUAUCAUAACUUUAUAAAAACACAGUCAAGAAAUUUAAACAUGUCAAGAAAGAGUGAGAUCUCCUAUGAGAUAUGAAGAAAGCUGUUGCUACUCAU
This is a long non-coding RNA of Myripristis murdjan (pinecone soldierfish), 583 nucleotides long. RefSeq lists it as uncharacterized. The record is from RefSeq and is a predicted model, not a curated record. NCBI's taxonomy places the organism in Eukaryota, Metazoa, Chordata, Actinopteri, Holocentriformes, Holocentridae. The transcript has 3 exons.